AAAGGAAUAGACGGGGGCCCGCACAAGCGGUGGAGUAUGUGGUUUAAUUCGAUGCAACGCGAAGAACCUUACCUGGGUUAGAAAACACAUGAACCUGGCGGAAACGUCGGGGUGCCCCUCGGGGAGCGUGUGGUUAGGUGCUGCAUGCCUGUCGUCAGCUCGUGUCGUGAGAUGUUGGGUUAAGUCCCGCAACGAGCGCAACCCUUGUCGCUAGUUACCAGCGAGUCAUGUCGGGAACUCUAGCGAGACUGCCGAUAUUAAAAUCGGAGGAAGGUGGGGAUGACGUCAAGUCAUCAUGGCCCUUAUGUCCAGGGCUACACACGUACUACAAUGGCCGGUACAAAGGGCAGCCAACCAGCGAUGGUGCGCUAAUCCCAAAAAACCAGCCUCAGUACAGAUAGGAGUCUGCAACUCGACUCCUUGAAGUCGGAAUCGCUAGUAAUCGCUGAUCAGAAGGCAGCGGUGAAUACGUUCCCGGGCCUUGUACACACCGCCCGU
Molecule: ribosomal RNA, 498 nt
Filed under: uncultured bacterium
Lineage: Bacteria
Description: bacterial SSU rRNA
Rfam family: Bacterial small subunit ribosomal RNA
Source: RNAcentral